This 498-nucleotide ribosomal RNA is filed under the name uncultured bacterium. Its description in RNAcentral is "partial 16S ribosomal RNA". It matches the Rfam family "Bacterial small subunit ribosomal RNA", at positions 28 to 507 of the family's 1533-position model. The record is from RNAcentral.
GACGAACGCUGGCGGCGUGCCUAAUACAUGCAAGUCGAGCGGACGGAUGGGAGCUUGCUCCCAGACCGUCAGCGGCGGACGGGUGAGUAACACGUGGGCAACCUGCCUGUAAGACUGGGAUAACUCCGGGAAACCGGGGCUAAUCCCGGAUAACUCUUUCCCUCACUUGAGGGAAAGCUGAAAGAUGGCAUCUCGCUAUCACUUACAGAUGUGCCCGCGGCGCAUUAGCUAGUUGGUCUGGUAACGGCUUACCAAGGCGACGAUGCGUAGCCGACCUGAGAGGGUGAUCGGCCACACUGGGACUGAGACACGGCCCAGACUCCUACGGGAGGCAGCAGUAGGGAAUCUUCCGCAAUGGACGAAAGUCUGACGGAGCAACGCCGCGUGAGUGAUGAAGGUGUUCGGAUCGUAAAACUCUGUUGUCAGGGAAGAACAAGUACCGGAGUAACUGCCGGUACCUUGACGGUACCUGACCAGAAAGCCACGGCUAACUACGUG